AACCGACACAGGUGGGUGAGGAGAGUAUCCUAAGGCCAGCGAGAGAACUGUUGUUAAGGAACUCGGCAAAAUGACCCCGUAACUUAGGGAUAAGGGGUGCCACCAUCCGGUGGCCGCAGAGAAUAGGCCCAAGCGACUGUUUACCAAAAACAUAGGUUUCUGCUAAGUCGCAAGACGAUGUAUAGGAGCUGACGCCUGCCCGGUGCUGGAAGGUUAAGGGGAUCUGUUAGAGCAAUCGAAGCAGUGAACUUAAGCC
RNAcentral lists this ribosomal RNA (256 nucleotides) under Clostridioides difficile. Its description in RNAcentral is "partial 23S ribosomal RNA". It matches the Rfam family "Bacterial large subunit ribosomal RNA", at positions 1652 to 1919 of the family's 2925-position model. Lineage: Bacteria; Bacillati; Bacillota; Clostridia; Peptostreptococcales; Peptostreptococcaceae. The record is from RNAcentral.